UUACACAUGCAAGUCGAGCGGUAACAUUUCUAGCUUGCUAGAAGAUGACGAGCGGCGGACGGGUGAGUAACGCGUAGGAAUCUGCCUAGUAGUGGGGGACAACAUGUGGAAACGCAUGCUAAUACCGCAUACGCCCUACGGGGGAAAGGAGGGGAUCUUCGGACCUUUCGCUAUUAGAUGAGCCUGCGUGAGAUUAGCUAGUUGGUGGGGUAAAGGCUCACCAAGGCGACGAUCUCUAGCUGGUCUGAGAGGAUGAUCAGCCACACUGGGACUGAGACACGGCCCAGACUCCUACGGGAGGCAGCAGUGGGGAAUAUUGGACAAUGGGCGCAAGCCUGAUCCAGCCAUGCCGCGUGUGUGAAGAAGGCCUUACGGUUGUAAAGCACUUUCAGGAGUGAGGAAGGGUGAUUGGUUAAUACCCAAUUAUU
This 428-nucleotide ribosomal RNA is filed under the name uncultured bacterium. RNAcentral's name for it is "bacterial SSU rRNA". It matches the Rfam family "Bacterial small subunit ribosomal RNA", at positions 49 to 474 of the family's 1533-position model. The record is from RNAcentral.